AACCUCCGCAAUGUGAGAAAUCGCGACGGGGGGAUCCCAAGUGCCAUUCUUAACGGGAUGGCUUUUCAUUAGUGUAAAGAGCUUUUGGAAUAAGGGCUGGGCAAGACCGGUGCCAGCCGCCGCGGUAACACCGGCAGCUCUAGUGGUAGCAGUUUUUAUUGGGCCUAAAGCGUCCGUAGCCGGUUUAAUAAGUCUCUGGUGAAAUCCUGUAGCUUAACUGUGGGAAUUGCUGGAGAUACUAUUAGACUUGAGACCGGGAGGGGUUAGAGGUACUCCCAGGGUAGAGGUGAAAUUCUGUAAUCCUGGGAGGACCGCCUGUUGCGAAGGCGUCUAACUGGAACGGUUCUGACGGUGAGGGACGAAAGUUAGGGGCGCGAACCGGAUUAGAUACCCGGGUAGUCCUAACUGUAAACGAUGCGGACUUGGUGUUGGGGUGGCUUUGAGCUGCUCCAGUGCCGAAGGGAAGCUGUUAAGUCCGCCGCCUGGGAAGUACGGUCGCAAGACUGAAACUUAAAGGAAUU
Molecule: ribosomal RNA, 521 nt
Filed under: uncultured bacterium
Lineage: Bacteria
Description: bacterial SSU rRNA
Rfam family: Archaeal small subunit ribosomal RNA
Source: RNAcentral